CGGGUGAGUAACACGUGGGUAACCUACCUAUAAGACUGGAAUAACUCCGGGAAACCGGGGCUAAUGCCGGAUAACAUUUAGAACCGCAUGGUUCUAAAGUGAAAGAUGGUUUUGCUAUCACUUAUAGAUGGACCCGCGCCGUAUUAGCUAGUUGGUAAGGUAACGGCUUACCAAGGCAACGAUACGUAGCCGACCUGAGAGGGUGAUCGGCCACACUGGAACUGAGACACGGUCCAGACUCCUACGGGAGGCAGCAGUAGGGAAUCUUCCGCAAUGGGCGAAAGCCUGACGGAGCAACGCCGCGUGAGUGAUGAAGGUCUUCGGAUCGUAAAACUCUGUUAUUAGGGAAGAACAAAUGUGUAAGUAACUAUGCACGUCUUGACGGUACCUAAUCAGAAAGCCACGGCUAACUACGUGCCAGCAGCCGCGGUAAUACGUAGGUGGCAAGCGUUA
This 453-nucleotide ribosomal RNA is filed under the name Staphylococcus cohnii. Its description in RNAcentral is "bacterial SSU rRNA". It matches the Rfam family "Bacterial small subunit ribosomal RNA", at positions 103 to 543 of the family's 1533-position model. Lineage: Bacteria; Bacillati; Bacillota; Bacilli; Caryophanales; Staphylococcaceae. The record is from RNAcentral.